Molecule: transfer RNA, 68 nt
Filed under: Marmota monax (woodchuck)
Lineage: Eukaryota; Metazoa; Chordata; Mammalia; Rodentia; Sciuridae
Description: tRNA.Ser
Source: RNAcentral
GGUUUGUGGCUCAGUGGUAGAGUGUUUGCCUAGAAUGUGUGAGGCCCUGGGUUUAAUUCUCAACACCA